UUUAAAUCCUUCUCGACUACCUUGGAGCUUGUGGUAUAGGAACUAGGUUGUUAUAUUUGUUGAUCACUAUCUUGUUUCUUAAAGAACCAUUCUUUGAGUUCUAUCCCUCGUUCAUUUGCUCUUAGGCAAAUCACAUUGUAGGAUUACAAUGAACUACCCAACAAAACAACAUUUGUUAGUUGGUUUAUCGAAGCGAUAUCCAAAAGUUAAUUUAAGGAUAUCACACAAGAUUGUUAUCAAACAAAUAUUGCUUAUUAGCUCACAACCCCAAAUCUUAACAUGCUUGAGAUUUGUCUUUCUUUCCAACUACAUCUUAUGGAGUCAUGAAAAAUUUCGAAGAUCUUCUAAUUGACAAUCAUAUUGUUUUUAGAAGUAUAUAUCCUAUAUAUGGGUAAUAGAUAACAUCUAACGAACUAAAUCUUAUUCGAGUUCGUUCUUCUCCUUAAUGGAGAAAUUUAUUAUCUUAUGAUGCUUCUUUCCUUGAUAUCUUUCAAGGAGACUCAUCUAAAGUGUUUCUUUUCCUUGGAUCAAAUCUAAGAAGGUAAAUACUUUAGACGUCUUACUCAUCAACUUACAUUUCUUGAAUUCUUUGAAACCUUUUGCAAAGUAUUCAGAUUUGUGUUUAUUCAAAAUAAACUAUAGUCCAACCGAGAGUGAUCUUCGGUGAAUGUCAUAUAACAUGAGUAGUAUUUGUUGGAAAUGUGCCCUAAAGCCAAUCAUAUGAUGAUACUUUACGGACAUUUUACAUGUUAAACUAAUCUAGUUUAACUAUAAAGGGCAAAGAUUAUUGUUUGAGCCAUCUCAUAUAAAUGUUAUAUGCUUAAACGAUAAAGUCCAAGGAAUAUGUGAUUGGGAGAAUGCAAUCUAAUGAAGU
RNAcentral lists this long non-coding RNA (874 nucleotides) under Malus domestica (apple). RNAcentral describes it as "long non-coding RNA (MDOM_LNC004490)". The record is from RNAcentral. Lineage: Eukaryota; Viridiplantae; Streptophyta; Magnoliopsida; Rosales; Rosaceae.